This is a transfer RNA of Calothrix sp. 336/3, 73 nucleotides long. It matches the Rfam family "tRNA". Rfam says of the family: Transfer RNA (tRNA) molecules are approximately 80 nucleotides in length. Their secondary structure includes four short double-helical elements and three loops (D, anti-codon, and T loops). Further hydrogen bonds mediate the characteristic L-shaped molecular structure. tRNAs have two regions of fundamental functional importance: the anti-codon, which is responsible for specific mRNA codon recognition, and the 3' end, to which the tRNAs corresponding amino acid is attached (by aminoacyl-tRNA synthetases). tRNAs cope with the degeneracy of the genetic code in two manners: having more than one tRNA (with a specific anti-codon) for a particular amino acid; and 'wobble' base-pairing, i.e. permitting non-standard base-pairing at the 3rd anti-codon position. Lineage: Bacteria; Bacillati; Cyanobacteriota; Cyanophyceae; Nostocales; Calotrichaceae. The record is from Rfam.
GGGUGGUUAGCUCAGUUGGUAGAGCGCCUGCCUUACAAGCAGGAUGUCACAGGUUCGAGUCCUGUACUACCCA